CGCAUCUGUGCAUGCAGCAUAUCAAUAAGCGGAGGAAAAGAAACUAACAAGGAUUCCCCUAGUAACGGCGAGUGAAGCGGGAAGAGCUCAAAUUUGAAAUCUUAAAGGGUUUCCCUUUACGAAUUGUAGUUUAAAGAAGUGUUUUCUGUUGAGGUUUUGGUAAAAGUUCUUUGGAAUAGGACAUCAUAGAGGGUGAGAAUCCCGUAUUUGACCUUUACUUUCCAACUUUGUGAUACACUUUCAAAGAGUCGGAUUGUUUGGGAAUGCAGUCCAAAAUGGGUGGUAAAUUUCAUCUAAAGCUAAAUAUUGGCGAGAGACCGAUAGCGAACAAGUACCGUGAGGGAAAGAUGAAAAGAACUUUGAAAAGAGAGUUAAACAGUACGUGAAAUCGUCAAAAGGGAAGCGUUUGACACCAGUGUUGUUUUUCUGAAAAUCAAUUAAAGAACUGUUUAUGCUAAGUUGUUUAGACCUUAUCAGCUAACUGUUUAGUUUUGAGCUUUUCUUUAAUGCACUUUUCAGUUAACAAGUCAACAUCAAUUUCUUUUGCUGUAAAAAAGCUUGAGGAAGGUGGCUUGAGAUUCGUCUUAAGUGUUUAUAGCCUCUUGCCUAUGCAGUCGGAGAGAUUGAGGUCUGCAGCGUAGAUCCUUCGGGGCUAAAUGCAUUUGUGCUAAGUUAUAGCAUUUUCAUAGACAACUUGUUGACUAUGAUUUGUCUUGUAGCUUACUCGCUUAUGUUAUUUUACCUACGCUUAGGAUGUUGACAGCAGUAUAGACUG
RNAcentral lists this ribosomal RNA (775 nucleotides) under uncultured Neocallimastigales. RNAcentral's name for it is "partial large subunit ribosomal RNA". It matches the Rfam family "Eukaryotic large subunit ribosomal RNA", at positions 26 to 636 of the family's 3401-position model. The record is from RNAcentral. Lineage: Eukaryota; Fungi; Neocallimastigomycota; Neocallimastigomycetes; Neocallimastigales.